RNAcentral lists this ribosomal RNA (97 nucleotides) under uncultured bacterium. Its description in RNAcentral is "partial 16S ribosomal RNA". It matches the Rfam family "Bacterial small subunit ribosomal RNA", at positions 1386 to 1482 of the family's 1533-position model. The record is from RNAcentral.
CACACCGCCCGUCAAGUCAUGGGAGUUGGUUCUACCUGAAGACGCUGUGCUAACCGCAAGGAGGCAGGCGGCCACGGUAGGGUCAAUGACUGGGACU